This 484-nucleotide ribosomal RNA is filed under the name uncultured bacterium. RNAcentral describes it as "partial 16S ribosomal RNA". It matches the Rfam family "Bacterial small subunit ribosomal RNA", at positions 30 to 507 of the family's 1533-position model. The record is from RNAcentral.
AGUGAACGCUGGCGGCAGGCCUAACACAUGCAAGUCGAGCGGCAGCGGGUCCUUCGGGAUGCCGGCGAGCGGCAGACGGGUGAGGAAUACAUCGGAAUCUGCCCUGUCGUGGGGGAUAACCUAGGGAAACUUAGGCUAAUACCGCAUACGACCUACGGGUGAAAGCGGGGGAUCGCAAGACCUCGCGCGACAGGAUGAGCCGAUGUCCGAUUAGCUAGUUGGCGGGGUAAAGGCCCACCAAGGCGACGAUCGGUAGCUGGUCUGAGAGGAUGAUCAGCCACACUGGGACUGAGACACGGCCCAGACUCCUACGGGAGGCAGCAGUGGGGAAUAUUGGACAAUGGGCGCAAGCCUGAUCCAGCCAUGCCGCGUGGGUGAAGAAGGCCUUCGGGUUGUAAAGCCCUUUUGUCCGGGAAGAAAUCGUCUGGGCUAAUACCCCGGGCGGAUGACGGUACCGGAAGAAUAAGCACCGGCUAACUUCGUG